UACCCCUGCCUGUCUCAAGUAAAUCUCGAUUGCCCCGGAUCUCUUUCUGGCCAUCUGCCGUGUUGUUCUGUUGCCACGAAGAGAGAGAGAGGGUUCGAUCAGUAGCCUAAAAGAGAGAGGUACAGUAUCGAUUUCAGCUGUUUUGGCGCAGAGAUUUUGGUUGUCGUUUGCUGACGAGUUGUUUACUAUUUAUUUGGUUGGAGCGCAAGAAUUCUUUAGCUGGCAUAGAUUUGGUAUUCAAAAUGGAAACUGAUGCUGUAUGAGGUUUAGCUUGGGUGGAGUUUAGAGAGAAGUACAAGAAGGAACAAUCCAACAACAAAUCGGAGAGAGCGCCCUACCAGGCCAAGGCAGAGAAGAGAAAGGUUGAAUAGAACAAUAACAUGGAAGUUUAUAACAAGAAACAAGUAAUUGUGUGAUAGAGUAAAAGCUUGGUCGUUUAAUGUAUCUGAUAGCUGCAAAGGUUUUUGCGUUUGUAGUAGUCAUCUUCACUUUUUCAUGGAAAGUGAUAGUUCGUGCUCUUGAAGAAAAUGCUAGAGCUUCCUACAAUUUGGACACUCUUUGAACUAUAGAGCCUUCUGAGAAAUAACUGAUUCAGUGACAACUUUGAACCAUCAGAUCAGACCAGAACAAAUACAUCGGUUCAAUCUGACACAGAAGACCUUACCUAGCCACUUCUGCUCCGCAAUCUUAAGCUUUUUGUUAUGCUGUGUAACUCUUUGUGAUAAAGACCAAUCUCUAUGGUUUUUUGGUAAUGCUAACGGUGCUUAAAAAACAAUGUCAUGCUAUUAUACUAUAUACGAAAGGCCGGUUGGGUGGUUACUGUUACUACUGUUCAUCAGUUCUGCCAUUUUCCCUUUCUGGAAGCAUCUUUCUGCACCGACAUAUCUACACCGACAUCAACUCUUGCAGACUAUAAAUUGAAAUCAGCAGAGGCGAAACAGCCCUGAAACGUGAGACAAACAUCUGAGAGGGUUUUCAGCCUGGGUUUUAACUUUUCAACAGUUCCAAGAUCCAAAUUUUUUUAGGCUCUCAGGGAAAAGGGUUGGGUUGAAAACAAAUAGAACAGGUGAUAAGAUUGUGAGUGUGUGAUGACGUGAGAGGUUCAUUACAAGUACUAUAUACUUUAAAGUUACCAACUGAUGUAUGAAUAUGACCAAAGAACAGAUUAGAUUGAAUGCAGGAAGUUGUUCUUACUUGGUUUCCAUAACGACAUACCACAGUAAAGUUUAGUUGAUUAACCGAUCAGUAAGAAGAAAGAGGCCUAGGUUUUUGGAGUGUAUUGUGGUCAUUAAGUUUGCUGCAGCAAGGCAGUUGGAAUUCCUCAAAGGCAGGAGUUAUUCUACUCAUCAUCAAUCUUCAGCUUCUCAUUAUAAACGCCCCCAUUCCAAUAACAGGAUUCUAUAAUGCCUGCAACUAAUUUCUCAGCUUCACCCCUCCUGCUCACAACAUACAGCAGCUGUCCGAGACUUCUGAUACACCAAGUUUGAUACCAGUUCAUUCAUUGUAAUCAAAACAUCACAUAAAAUAUGUCUGACCUCAUUAUAACAAAAUAUUUGAACUUUGUUAAAACCUUUUGUACGAACCAAAACCUUUAUA
Long non-coding RNA from Rosa rugosa (rugosa rose), 1596 nucleotides. RefSeq lists it as uncharacterized. The record is from RefSeq and is a predicted model, not a curated record. The transcript has 14 exons. Lineage: Eukaryota; Viridiplantae; Streptophyta; Magnoliopsida; Rosales; Rosaceae.